RNAcentral lists this ribosomal RNA (506 nucleotides) under uncultured bacterium. RNAcentral's name for it is "partial 16S ribosomal RNA". It matches the Rfam family "Bacterial small subunit ribosomal RNA", at positions 29 to 523 of the family's 1533-position model. The record is from RNAcentral.
AUUGAACGCUGGCGGCAGGCCUAACACAUGCAAGUCGGACGGUAGCACAGAGGAGCUUGCUCUUCGGGUGACGAGUGGCGGACGGGUGAGUAAUGUCUGGGGAUCUGCCCGAUAGAGGGGGAUAACCACUGGAAACGGUGGCUAAUACCGCAUAACGUCGCAAGACCAAAGAGGGGGACCUUCGGGCCUCUCACUAUCGGAUGAACCCAGAUGGGAUUAGCUAGUAGGCGGGGUAACGGCCCACCUAGGCGACGAUCCCUAGCUGGUCUGAGAGGAUGACCAGCCACACUGGAACUGCGACACGGUCCAGACUCCGACGGGAGGCAGCAGUGGGGAAUAUUGCACAAUGGGCGCAAGCCUGAUGCAGCCAUGCCGCGUGUAUGAAGAAGGCCUUCGGGUUGUAAAGUACUUUCAGCGGGGAGGAAGGCGAUGUGGUUAAUAACCGCGUCGAUUGACGUUACCCGCAGAAGAAGCACCGGCUAACUCCGUGCCAGCCGCCGCGGUAA